Molecule: microRNA, 22 nt
Filed under: Medicago truncatula (barrel medic)
Lineage: Eukaryota; Viridiplantae; Streptophyta; Magnoliopsida; Fabales; Fabaceae
Description: mtr-miR5210
Source: miRBase by way of RNAcentral
UAAAUGUGUUGGAAUUAAGGUU